RNAcentral lists this ribosomal RNA (253 nucleotides) under uncultured bacterium. RNAcentral describes it as "partial 16S ribosomal RNA". It matches the Rfam family "Bacterial small subunit ribosomal RNA", at positions 524 to 776 of the family's 1533-position model. The record is from RNAcentral.
UACGGGGGGUGCAAGCGUUGUCCGGAAUUACUGGGCGUAAAGGGCGUGUAGGUGGCUUGUUAAGUCAGAUGUGAAAGCCCACGGCUUAACCGUGGAACUGCAUUUGAAACUGGCAGGCUUGAGUAUGAGAUGGGGUAGUGGAAUUCCCAGUGUAGCGGUGAAAUGCGUAGAUAUUGGGAAGAACACCAGUAGCGAAGGCGGCUACCUGGCUCAUUACUGACACUAAUGCGCGAAAGCGCGGGGAGCAAACAGG